UCCAUUCCCGCGGGUACCCGGGGGGCGGGGGCUGCUGCUUCGCAGACCACAUUUCAGCAGCCAUGGAGUGGUGUCUCCGUGGCUGUGGUUGGAGCGGGUUCCUCAGCACCUCCCGGGGUUUCUGACUGCGGAUCUGAGUAUGGAGACAGCAACUUCUUGAUGAAAACGAGACCAGGAGUUGUGCGUGCACAGUCCCUGCCCUACAGUGGCAUGAGGAUUCCAUGGAAACUGGCUUUUGAAUUCAGUUUUGCUCCGAGACUAGUGAUCUGCAUUAAGGUCUUCUCAGGUGAUGCUCGGCAGCCUUGUGCUCACCACUGACCCUCUGUGCUGUGUACUGUGUGUGUAGCCAGCGAGCCUUCCAUACUGUGUUUCUGAAUCCUGCCCAGCCGCGUCUCUAGUGUUCUAGGGCUGAGCAGAGCAAGAAAACCGUGGAGUGGAUUGAAAGGAAAGUCACAGAUUUGACUGAAAUUGGAAAAUAAAGUGUAUAUGGGAAGGUCAAACACACGGGGAUUACUCUGAAGCCUGGAUGGGGUGGACAUUGAAUGCAGCGGUUAAGAUUCUGCUGUUGCAGACCCUGGAAAACAGCAGGAAGGAAGAGAACAAGAAGAAACAGACUUACUGACCACGGGAGCGGGAGAAAGAAGUUAGUUACAAGAACGAGUUUCUGGAAUCAAGAGUGUAUAACAUCAUGGAGGAAGCUGCCAAGUUUUUAUUAAUAUUUGAAUAAAUUAGGCAAGCCCUCAGCAUGUCCAGAUUGAA
Molecule: non-coding RNA, 759 nt
Organism: Oryctolagus cuniculus (rabbit)
Lineage: Eukaryota; Metazoa; Chordata; Mammalia; Lagomorpha; Leporidae
Source: RefSeq, a predicted model, not a curated record